RNAcentral lists this ribosomal RNA (280 nucleotides) under uncultured prokaryote. Its description in RNAcentral is "partial 16S ribosomal RNA". It matches the Rfam family "Bacterial small subunit ribosomal RNA", at positions 524 to 803 of the family's 1533-position model. The record is from RNAcentral.
UACGUAGGGGCUAGCGUUAUCCGGAAUUACUGGGCGUAAAGGGUGCGUAGGUGGUUUCUUAAGUCAGAGGUGAAAGGCUACGGCUCAACCGUAGUAAGCCUUUGAAACUGGUAAACUUGAGUGCAGGAGAGGAGAGUGGAAUUCCUAGUGUAGCGGUGAAAUGCGUAGAUAUUAGGAGGAACACCAGUUGCGAAGGCGGCUCUCUGGACUGUAACUGACACUGAGGCACGAAAGCGUGGGGAGCAAACAGGAUUAGAUACCCCGGUAGUCCCUGAGCGGG